AGGGCAAUGUGAGGGCUGGCACACACACACAUGUUGGGUGUUGGGGAUAUUUCCCCUCCGGUAAAGAGAAGCUGGAACAAGCAGAGGUGUUCCUUACUGCUCUGGCUUCGAGCAAGUCCAAACAAAACUCCCAAUUUGUCAAACUUGAGUGUAGAAAGUGAAAGCAGACUGCAGUUUGAUGCUUCUCCAGUGAAAUACUUGUAAUUGUCACUGUAUUUUGUUACAUCAUAGGAAUCCAGCCGAUGUGGAACUCACAAAACCUCAGGGAGCAGCAGCAGCAGCUGCCCAGAGCUGUUUGCUGAGGGUUGGUGCCACAGCCUUAAAUGCUGGACAUGAACAACAGGGUGAAAUUUCUUGUUUUCCUGGGAAGCAAGAGCUCACUAGUUGCCUGACUCAAACAGAAAUGCACAGCGAGUUCUGCAGCCAUUAAUAUGAAAUGCUGUAUGAGGGAUUCAUUUCUCCCAGGAGGAACUAAAUCCAGAGCCAGGAUGAACACAAGCCUGAGUCUGCAAAAACCACUGAGAAGAUCUGCAAGAUUGGUGACUUCAUUGGAAACUCUCUCCCGGGGAUAUUUUCUCUCUCCAUGGUUCUCCACACCUCCAACUUUACCAUGAAUGUCACUGAACUUCUCAAGGCUCUCCCCUAAAAUUAAUAAUUAAAGACAAAAUUGAAGGGUUCAAAACUGAUGCUUCAAGAACUCAGUUUCGUUUCAUUAAUGCUCCCUGCGCCCCUUCUACUUCAAUUAGGAAUUUUGUCAUAUAUGCUCAAGUUCAUUAAUUAUCAUAUUUCAGGGUCUUGGCAGGCAGUUUAAAAAUAAUCCCAUAGCCUUUGGAGCUUUGAUUCCAGAGGAUUCAUUCAGUGUGCUCUAAGGCUGUUGUGUAACUACCAUGAUUGUUUGUCUGACAACAACAAGUUUAAAUAUUUUUUUUUCUUCAUUAUUUUUGUCUAAAUGCAUUUUCACUGUCACUCUGCUGUGAAGCCAGGCAGACAAAGAUAAAAACAUUGCCAAUUGCAAAAUCCAGAUGUCAUGGAAGCUCAAGUAGCCAUUUAAGUUGCUUCAUGACAAACACACAUACAUUAAAAUCAAGAUACUGAAAAUUUUUAUUCUCUUGUUCACCUAACUGAUGUGUCUAAGACAUUUAGAAGAAAAAAAAAAUAUAAGCACAAUGCAAAAAAUGUAAAAAAUUGGAGGAAAAGAAAC
Molecule: long non-coding RNA, 1201 nt
Organism: Passer domesticus (house sparrow)
Lineage: Eukaryota; Metazoa; Chordata; Aves; Passeriformes; Passeridae
Exons: 3
Source: RefSeq, a predicted model, not a curated record